Molecule: ribosomal RNA, 512 nt
Filed under: Shigella sonnei
Lineage: Bacteria; Pseudomonadati; Pseudomonadota; Gammaproteobacteria; Enterobacterales; Enterobacteriaceae
Description: partial 23S ribosomal RNA
Rfam family: Bacterial large subunit ribosomal RNA
Source: RNAcentral
UCCUGACUGACCGAUAGUGAACCAGUACCGUGAGGGAAAGGCGAAAAGAACCCCGGCGAGGGGAGUGAAAAAGAACCUGAAACCGUGUACGUACAAGCAGUGGGAGCACGCUUAGGCGUGUGACUGCGUACCUUUUGUAUAAUGGGUCAGCGACUUAUAUUCUGUAGCAAGGUUAACCGAAUAGGGGAGCCGAAGGGAAACCGAGUCUUAACUGGGCGUUAAGUUGCAGGGUAUAGACCCGAAACCCGGUGAUCUAGCCAUGGGCAGGUUGAAGGUUGGGUAACACUAACUGGAGGACCGAACCGACUAAUGUUGAAAAAUUAGCGGAUGACUUGUGGCUGGGGGUGAAAGGCCAAUCAAACCGGGAGAUAGCUGGUUCUCCCCGAAAGCUAUUUAGGUAGCGCCUCGUGAAUUCAUCUCCGGGGGUAGAGCACUGUUUCGGCAAGGGGGUCAUCCCGACUUACCAACCCGAUGCAAACUGCGAAUACCGGAGAAUGUUAUCACAGGAGACA